This 253-nucleotide ribosomal RNA is filed under the name uncultured bacterium. Its description in RNAcentral is "partial 16S ribosomal RNA". It matches the Rfam family "Bacterial small subunit ribosomal RNA", at positions 524 to 776 of the family's 1533-position model. The record is from RNAcentral.
UACGGAGGGAGCUAGCGUUGUUCGGAAUUACUGGGCGUAAAGAGUGCGUAGGCGGUUAAUUAAGUUGGGAGUGAAAUCCCAGGGCUCAACCCUGGAAUUGCUUUCAAAACUGGUUAGCUAGAGAACGAUAGAGGAUGGUGGAAUUCCUAGUGUAGAGGUGAAAUUCUUAGAUAUUAGGAGGAACAUCGGAGGCGAAGGCGACCAUCUGGGUCGUAUCUGACGCUGAUGCACGAAAGCGUGGGGAGCAAACAGG